UGGCCGUGUCUCUGCUUGCGGCAGAGUA
RNAcentral lists this small RNA (28 nucleotides) under Bombyx mori (domestic silkworm). Its description in RNAcentral is "ovarian small RNA-3821". Lineage: Eukaryota; Metazoa; Arthropoda; Insecta; Lepidoptera; Bombycidae. The record is from RNAcentral.